This 34-nucleotide ribosomal RNA is filed under the name Quercus environmental sample. RNAcentral's name for it is "partial 18S ribosomal RNA". The record is from RNAcentral. Lineage: Eukaryota; Viridiplantae; Streptophyta; Magnoliopsida; Fagales; Fagaceae.
GGUUUCCAUAGGUGACCUGCGGAGGAUCAUUGUC